RNAcentral lists this ribosomal RNA (163 nucleotides) under Klebsiella pneumoniae MRSN 2404. RNAcentral's name for it is "partial 16S ribosomal RNA". It matches the Rfam family "Bacterial small subunit ribosomal RNA", at positions 1 to 155 of the family's 1533-position model. The record is from RNAcentral. Lineage: Bacteria; Pseudomonadati; Pseudomonadota; Gammaproteobacteria; Enterobacterales; Enterobacteriaceae.
ACUUAAAUUGAAGAGUUUGAUCAUGGCUCAGAUUGAACGCUGGCGGCAGGCCUAACACAUGCAAGUCGAGCGGUAGCACAGAGAGCUUGCUCUCGGGUGACGAGCGGCGGACGGGUGAGUAAUGUCUGGGAAACUGCCUGAUGGAGGGGGAUAACUACUGGAA